Molecule: ribosomal RNA, 740 nt
Filed under: uncultured bacterium
Lineage: Bacteria
Description: bacterial SSU rRNA
Rfam family: Bacterial small subunit ribosomal RNA
Source: RNAcentral
ACGCUAGCGGGAGGCCUAACACAUGCAAGCCGAGCGGUAUAAGAUCUUCGGAUCUUAGAGAGCGGCGCACGGGUGCGGAACACGUGUGCAACCUGCCUUUAUCUGGGGGAUAGCCUUUCGAAAGGAAGAUUAAUACCCCAUAAUAUAAUGAACGGCAUCGUUUAUUAUUGAAAACUCCGGUGGAUAGAGAUGGGCACGCGCAAGAUUAGAUAGUUGGUGAGGUAACGGCUCACCAAGUCAAUGAUCUUUAGGGGGCCUGAGAGGGUGAUCCCCCACACUGGUACUGAGACACGGACCAGACUCCUACGGGAGGCAGCAGUGAGGAAUAUUGGACAAUGGGUGAGAGCCUGAUCCAGCCAUCCCGCGUGAAGGACGACGGCCCUAUGGGUUGUAAACUUCUUUUGUAUAGGGAUAAACCUUUCCACGUGUGGAAAGCUGAAGGUACUAUACGAAUAAGCACCGGCUAACUCCGUGCCAGCAGCCGCGGUAAUACGGAGGGUGCAAGCGUUAUCCGGAUUUAUUGGGUUUAAAGGGUCCGUAGGCGGACUCGUAAGUCAGUGGUGAAAUCUCAUAGCUUAACUAUGAAACUGCCAUUGAUACUGCGGGUCUUGAGUAAAGUAGAAGUGGCUGGAAUAAGUAGUGUAGCGGUGAAAUGCAUAGAUAUUACUUAGAACACCAAUUGCGAAGGCAGGUCACUAUGUUUUAACUGACGCUGAUGGACGAAAGCGUGGGGAGCGAAC